Molecule: ribosomal RNA, 2871 nt
Filed under: Escherichia coli 1-110-08_S3_C3
Lineage: Bacteria; Pseudomonadati; Pseudomonadota; Gammaproteobacteria; Enterobacterales; Enterobacteriaceae
Description: bacterial LSU rRNA
Rfam family: Bacterial large subunit ribosomal RNA
Source: RNAcentral
UUAAGCGACUAAGCGUACACGGUGGAUGCCCUGGCAGUCAGAGGCGAUGAAGGACGUGCUAAUCUGCGAUAAGCGUCGGUAAGGUGAUAUGAACCGUUAUAACCGGCGAUUUCCGAAUGGGGAAACCCAGUGUGUUUCGACACACUAUCAUUAACUGAAUCCAUAGGUUAAUGAGGCGAACCGGGGGAACUGAAACAUCUAAGUACCCCGAGGAAAAGAAAUCAACCGAGAUUCCCCCAGUAGCGGCGAGCGAACGGGGAGCAGCCCAGAGCCUGAAUCAGUAUGUGUGUUAGUGGAAGCGUCUGGAAAGGCGCGCGAUACAGGGUGACAGCCCCGUACACAAAAAUGCACAUGCUGUGAGCUCGAUGAGUAGGGCGGGACACGUGGUAUCCUGUCUGAAUAUGGGGGGACCAUCCUCCAAGGCUAAAUACUCCUGACUGACCGAUAGUGAACCAGUACCGUGAGGGAAAGGCGAAAAGAACCCCGGCGAGGGGAGUGAAAAAGAACCUGAAACCGUGUACGUACAAGCAGUGGGAGCACGCUUAGGCGUGUGACUGCGUACCUUUUGUAUAAUGGGUCAGCGACUUAUAUUCUGUAGCAAGGUUAACCGAAUAGGGGAGCCGAAGGGAAACCGAGUCUUAACUGGGCGUUAAGUUGCAGGGUAUAGACCCGAAACCCGGUGAUCUAGCCAUGGGCAGGUUGAAGGUUGGGUAACACUAACUGGAGGACCGAACCGACUAAUGUUGAAAAAUUAGCGGAUGACUUGUGGCUGGGGGUGAAAGGCCAAUCAAACCGGGAGAUAGCUGGUUCUCCCCGAAAGCUAUUUAGGUAGCGCCUCGUGAAUUCAUCUCCGGGGGUAGAGCACUGUUUCGGCAAGGGGGUCAUCCCGACUUACCAACCCGAUGCAAACUGCGAAUACCGGAGAAUGUUAUCACGGGAGACACACGGCGGGUGCUAACGUCCGUCGUGAAGAGGGAAACAACCCAGACCGCCAGCUAAGGUCCCAAAGUCAUGGUUAAGUGGGAAACGAUGUGGGAAGGCCCAGACAGCCAGGAUGUUGGCUUAGAAGCAGCCAUCAUUUAAAGAAAGCGUAAUAGCUCACUGGUCGAGUCGGCCUGCGCGGAAGAUGUAACGGGGCUAAACCAUGCACCGAAGCUGCGGCAGCGACGCUGAUGCGUUGUUGGGUAGGGGAGCGUUCUGUAAGCCUGCGAAGGUGUGCUGUGAGGCAUGCUGGAGGUAUCAGAAGUGCGAAUGCUGACAUAAGUAACGAUAAAGCGGGUGAAAAGCCCGCUCGCCGGAAGACCAAGGGUUCCUGUCCAACGUUAAUCGGGGCAGGGUGAGUCGACCCCUAAGGCGAGGCCGAAAGGCGUAGUCGAUGGGAAACAGGUUAAUAUUCCUGUACUUGGUGUUACUGCGAAGGGGGGACGGAGAAGGCUAUGUUGGCCGGGCGACGGUUGUCCCGGUUUAAGCGUGUAGGCUGGUUUUCCAGGCAAAUCCGGAAAAUCAAGGCUGAGGCGUGAUGACGAGGCACUACGGUGCUGAAGCAACAAAUGCCCUGCUUCCAGGAAAAGCCUCUAAGCAUCAGGUAACAUCAAAUCGUACCCCAAACCGACACAGGUGGUCAGGUAGAGAAUACCAAGGCGCUUGAGAGAACUCGGGUGAAGGAACUAGGCAAAAUGGUGCCGUAACUUCGGGAGAAGGCACGCUGAUAUGUAGGUGAAGUCCCUCGCGGAUGGAGCUGAAAUCAGUCGAAGAUACCAGCUGGCUGCAACUGUUUAUUAAAAACACAGCACUGUGCAAACACGAAAGUGGACGUAUACGGUGUGACGCCUGCCCGGUGCCGGAAGGUUAAUUGAUGGGGUUAGCCGCAAGGCGAAGCUCUUGAUCGAAGCCCCGGUAAACGGCGGCCGUAACUAUAACGGUCCUAAGGUAGCGAAAUUCCUUGUCGGGUAAGUUCCGACCUGCACGAAUGGCGUAAUGAUGGCCAGGCUGUCUCCACCCGAGACUCAGUGAAAUUGAACUCGCUGUGAAGAUGCAGUGUACCCGCGGCAAGACGGAAAGACCCCGUGAACCUUUACUAUAGCUUGACACUGAACAUUGAGCCUUGAUGUGUAGGAUAGGUGGGAGGCUUAGAAGUGUGGACGCCAGUCUGCAUGGAGCCGACCUUGAAAUACCACCCUUUAAUGUUUGAUGUUCUAACGUUGACCCGUAAUCCGGGUUGCGGACAGUGUCUGGUGGGUAGUUUGACUGGGGCGGUCUCCUCCUAAAGAGUAACGGAGGAGCACGAAGGUUGGCUAAUCCUGGUCGGACAUCAGGAGGUUAGUGCAAUGGCAUAAGCCAGCUUGACUGCGAGCGUGACGGCGCGAGCAGGUGCGAAAGCAGGUCAUAGUGAUCCGGUGGUUCUGAAUGGAAGGGCCAUCGCUCAACGGAUAAAAGGUACUCCGGGGAUAACAGGCUGAUACCGCCCAAGAGUUCAUAUCGACGGCGGUGUUUGGCACCUCGAUGUCGGCUCAUCACAUCCUGGGGCUGAAGUAGGUCCCAAGGGUAUGGCUGUUCGCCAUUUAAAGUGGUACGCGAGCUGGGUUUAGAACGUCGUGAGACAGUUCGGUCCCUAUCUGCCGUGGGCGCUGGAGAACUGAGGGGGGCUGCUCCUAGUACGAGAGGACCGGAGUGGACGCAUCACUGGUGUUCGGGUUGUCAUGCCAAUGGCACUGCCCGGUAGCUAAAUGCGGAAGAGAUAAGUGCUGAAAGCAUCUAAGCACGAAACUUGCCCCGAGAUGAGUUCUCCCUGACCCUUUAAGGGUCCUGAAGGAACGUUGAAGACGACGACGUUGAUAGGCCGGGUGUGUAAGCGCAGCGAUGCGUUGAGCU